RNAcentral lists this ribosomal RNA (497 nucleotides) under uncultured bacterium. RNAcentral's name for it is "partial 16S ribosomal RNA". It matches the Rfam family "Bacterial small subunit ribosomal RNA", at positions 28 to 507 of the family's 1533-position model. The record is from RNAcentral.
GACGAACGCUGGCGGCGUGCCUAAUACAUGCAAGUUGAGCGCUGAAGGUUGGUACUUGUACCAACUGGAUGAGCAGCGAACGGGUGAGUAACGCGUGGGGAAUCUGCCUUUGAGCGGGGGACAACAUUUGGAAACGAAUGCUAAUACCGCAUAAAAACUUUAAACACAAGUUUUAAGUUUGAAAGAUGCAAUUGCAUCACUCAAAGAUGAUCCCGCGUUGUAUUAGCUAGUUGGUGAGGUAAAGGCUCACCAAGGCGAUGAUACAUAGCCGACCUGAGAGGGUGAUCGGCCACAGUGGGACUGAGACACGGCCCAAACUCCUACGGGAGGCAGCAGUAGGGAAUCUUCGGCAAUGGACGAAAGUCUGACCGAGCAACGCCGCGUGAGUGAAGAAGGGUUUCGGAUCGUAAAACUCUGUUGGUAGAGAAGAACGUUGGUGAGAGUGGAAAGCUCAUCAAGUGACGGUAACUACACAGAAAGGGACGGCUAACUACGUG